This 497-nucleotide ribosomal RNA is filed under the name uncultured bacterium. Its description in RNAcentral is "partial 16S ribosomal RNA". It matches the Rfam family "Bacterial small subunit ribosomal RNA", at positions 28 to 507 of the family's 1533-position model. The record is from RNAcentral.
GAUGAACGCUGGCGGCGUGCCUAAUACAUGCAAGUCGAGCGAACAGAUGAGGAGCUUGCUCCUCUGACGUUAGCGGCGGACGGGUGAGUAACACGUGGAUAACCUACCUAUAAGACUGGGAUAACUUCGGGAAACCGGAGCUAAUACCGGAUAAUAUAUUGAACCGCAUGGUUCAAUAGUGAAAGACGCUUUUGCUGUCUCUUAUAGAUGGAUCCGCGCCGCAUUAGCUAGUUGGUAAGGUAACGGCUUACCAAGGCAACGAUGCGUAGCCGACCUGAGAGGGUGAUCAGCCACACUGGAACUGAGACACGGUCCAGACUCCUACGGGAGGCAGCAGUAGGGAAUCUUCCGCAAUGGGCGAAAGCCUGACGGAGCAACGCCGCGUGAGUGAUGAAGGUCUUCGGAUCGUAAAACUCUGUUAUUAGGGAAGAACAAAUGUGUAAGUAACUAUGCACGUCUUGACGGUACCUAAACAGAAAGCCACGGCUAACUACGUG